This 211-nucleotide long non-coding RNA is filed under the name Nicotiana benthamiana. RNAcentral describes it as "long non-coding RNA (NBEN_LNC005148)". Lineage: Eukaryota; Viridiplantae; Streptophyta; Magnoliopsida; Solanales; Solanaceae. The record is from RNAcentral.
CUAAAUGUUGGUUCCUGCGUCAAAUCAAUUAGUCUAAUUUAAGUUUUUUUUUUGAGUUAAUUAAUGUGUUGUAUGCUCAACAUGGGAACUAGUAGUCAACUUGCAUCUAUUAGAAUUAGUAUAGCCUAAUAGUGAAUCUACCUGCUUCUGAAACUCUUGUGGUUAUAGCUGGUUUUGGACAUGCUGAUAUAGGGAACUUAGUAAAAUGGUG